UACGGGGGGGGCAAGCGUUGUUCGGAAUUACUGGGCGUAAAGGGUCUGUAGGUGGCUUGCUAAGCCAGACGUGAAAUCCCUCAGCUUAACUGGGGAACUGCGUCUGAGACUGGCGAGCUUGAGUGCAGGAGAGGAACGCGGAAUUCCAGGUGUAGCGGUGAAAUGCGUAGAUAUCUGGAGGAACACCGGUGGCGAAGGCGGCGUUCUGGACUGCAACUGACACUGAGAGACGAAAGCCAGGGGAGCAAACGGG
RNAcentral lists this ribosomal RNA (253 nucleotides) under uncultured bacterium. RNAcentral's name for it is "partial 16S ribosomal RNA". It matches the Rfam family "Bacterial small subunit ribosomal RNA", at positions 524 to 776 of the family's 1533-position model. The record is from RNAcentral.